Molecule: ribosomal RNA, 581 nt
Filed under: uncultured eukaryote
Lineage: Eukaryota
Description: bacterial SSU rRNA
Rfam family: Eukaryotic small subunit ribosomal RNA
Source: RNAcentral
CCAGACAUAGUAAGGGUUGACCGAAUUGGGGGUUCUUUUUUGGAUUCUAUGGGUGGGUGGGGCAUGGCCGUUCAUAGUGGGUGGAGUGAUUAGUCUGGUAAAUCCGUUAACGGAACGGGACUUCAGCCUGUUAAAUAGUGUGCAUAUUGGAAAGAAUGUGUUCGACUUCUUAGAGGGACAUUUCGGUUUUACCGGAAGGAAGUUUGAGGCAAUAACAGGUCUGUGAUGCCCUUAGAUGUUAUGGGCCGCACGCGCGCUACAAUGAUGAAUUCAACAAGUUUAUAACCUUGGUUGAAAAGCCUGGGUAAUCUUUUGAACUUUCGUCGUGAUGGGGCUAGACCCUUGCAAUUAUUGGUCUCCAACGAGGAAUUCCUAGUAAACGCAAGUCAUCAGCUUGCAUUGAUUACGUCCCUGCCCUUUGUACACACCGCCCGUCGCACCUACCGAUUGAAUGGUCCGGUGAAAUCUUCGGACCGUGACUUUGACUUGUUCAUUCAAGACGCUGUUAUGGGAAGUUGAUUAAACCUUACCAUUUAGAGGAAGGUGAAGUCGUAACAAGGUUUCCGUAGGUGAACCUGCAG